Long non-coding RNA from Coregonus clupeaformis (lake whitefish), 485 nucleotides. RefSeq lists it as uncharacterized. NCBI's taxonomy places the organism in Eukaryota, Metazoa, Chordata, Actinopteri, Salmoniformes, Salmonidae. The record is from RefSeq and is a predicted model, not a curated record. The transcript is spliced from 3 exons.
GAUUGACAUGUCGGACACCGCGAACACUGGGUACUGGCUCUGUCAGACAAAGGCCAGGACAUUGCACCCUGUGAGUGGUACCAGAGAGUCUACAAGAGCCUGUUCCCCUUGAGCUGGGUGGCAAAAUGGGAUGAUCAGAUUGAAGCUGGAAGUUUCCCCGGGAAAAUCUAAAUGGACACAUUCAUGACCUCUUCCAAUGUCUCUGCCAAGCAUUUGGAUGUUUCUGUAGAAAUGACUAAUAUUUAAUGUUAUGAUGAUAUUUGGUAAUGUUGACUUUGGUGGUUUAGUGUUGGACAGUCCCAUUAAAUUAAUCCACGAGACCGGAUAGGUCGAUAUAUUAAAAAGGUACAAGAGAAAUUUGUAAAAUAGUUGCUGACAUUCACAAAAGAGCUAAGACUGGUAACAGAAAUAUAGUUCUCAUUUGAUAUAUUUCAUGAAUAUAUAUAUACACACUACCAGUCAAAAGUUUGGUCACACCUACUCAU